Molecule: non-coding RNA, 265 nt
Organism: Labrus bergylta (ballan wrasse)
Lineage: Eukaryota; Metazoa; Chordata; Actinopteri; Labriformes; Labridae
Source: RefSeq, a predicted model, not a curated record
CGUCCUCCGUGCUCUCCCUACAUAUCUGCAUGAGGAUGACUCCGGAUUUCUGAAGCUGUGGGAUCAGGCCCUGUCAGAUGAACUGCAAAUCGACAACAUACCAGUUGGGCUCCUCCUGAUCAGUGCCACUUCAACAGAUGCUGCGGUAUUCUGCCCCGAGAAGGUUGCCGUUGUGCUUGAGGCGCCAAACUUUGAGAAGCCCUUUAAACUUCAGGUGGACGCAAGUGGAGUUGGUGCAGGAGCUGUACUGUUGCAAGAAGGGAAG